RNAcentral lists this transfer RNA (67 nucleotides) under Stereochilus marginatus (many-lined salamander). RNAcentral describes it as "tRNA-Ala". Lineage: Eukaryota; Metazoa; Chordata; Amphibia; Caudata; Plethodontidae. The record is from RNAcentral.
GAGACUUUAACUUAAUUAAAGUGUCUGGGUUGCAUUCAGAGUAUGUGAGGUAGUCUUGCAGGUCUUA